UCACUAAUCCACAAAAUCCAAAACAUCAAGCAUAUAACAUCAUUAUAGACUUGAAAUCACAAUUAGAAUCAUGCAUCACAAUUACAACAUAGGAUUAUGAGAUCUUCAUGUUUUUACUCAUAAAACGCAUAGCAAUUCAAAUGCCUAGUAAUCAUCUAGCACAUGUUAUAAACAAACAUAUAACAAACACAUACCAGGACACAUUAAUAUCCUACUCUUCUCACCAUUUGGAAAAUUAAUUUUCACUCACCCAAAAGAAAAUAACUCUAUAUUUUCACCAACAUCUUCAAGAAAUAAUAUUAGUUUUUAAAAUUAUUU
This 318-nucleotide long non-coding RNA is filed under the name Trifolium pratense (red clover). RNAcentral describes it as "long non-coding RNA (TPRA_LNC010081)". Lineage: Eukaryota; Viridiplantae; Streptophyta; Magnoliopsida; Fabales; Fabaceae. The record is from RNAcentral.